This is a long non-coding RNA of Rattus norvegicus (Norway rat), 3227 nucleotides long. RefSeq lists it as uncharacterized. The record is from RefSeq and is a predicted model, not a curated record. NCBI's taxonomy places the organism in Eukaryota, Metazoa, Chordata, Mammalia, Rodentia, Muridae.
GAUGGGGGAGGAGAAGAGAGAGAAGAGAGAGAGGGGGAGAGAGAGGCAAGAGGAGAAAGGGAGAGAAGCAAGAGAUAGGACCACAGGGGAUUGGUCUGAGCUCUCUGCUGGAGAAACACCAUGUCUAUAUAGAGUUGACAGGGAGGUAGGGUUAUUAUACACAUCUGUACAAGGAGGGGGGGAUUACUACACACCCAUAAAACACGGAGGCAGGGUUAUUAUAUACGGCAAAACCUGGGGGCAAGUUUAGCUAAUUGGGUAGGAGCCAUCUCUGUUUGGGAACAGUCACCAGUCCAUAAGGGUUAGGUAUGUGUAAGGGGAGCUACAGUGGAAUUUUCAGUCCACACUGUCAACAUGAAGGUGGGGAAGAGAGCUAUAGUAGACAUUUUCCCACACACCACCCUGUCAAUACAUGGACCAGAGGAAGACUUUGCCAUUUCUGUGUGGGUGUGAGGCUUUGAGGUUCCUUGACAUGGCUAUGCCAAUGUCACAACAGAGAUUCUCUCAGUGCUUCACUAGUUCAGGGUGCCCUCUGCUUCCUGUACUUUAUGAGAUCCCUCUCUGAUAUCCUCCAUCAACCCAUCAUUGCAUUCAGAAAGACACAAAUCUGUCAAUCUGUGACAGAUAUAGCUUGAUACUAGAACAAACUCUAACUGACCUCCUUGCCUGGGUCCUGCCUAUGGAGUCUUGUCCUUGGGUGAGAGCUAUAGCACGACCCCUUCAUAUCUGAUCACACGGACCUGCCUUCUGUAGGGAUCUCCCUUCCUAGUGACUUUCUCCCCUCUACCCUGUCACCCAUUGGCUUGCUGGCUAUUAAUCCUCAGCUGGGUGCUGUCAUGGAGGGAGCUAAUCUUUCUCCCUAUUGCAGAAGUCCUGAUGCUUAUCCCAACAGGCCUACCUUAUCAUGUAAGUGUCAGGAUGAUUUUUCUUCAACAGAAGGACAGAUUGUACCUGGCAGAAACCCAAACCUUGACACGGUCUUGUUUGCUUUCUUCAUUUUUCUUGCAUGAUUCAAAUUGAAUUUUAAAUUUGCUCAAUCAAUUCAUUUAUUCAAAGCUGUCCUCUGCAUGUAAUCCCUUUAUCCCCCUCAUAUUUACCAAGGGCCUCUCUGUGCCUGCCAGGACGAUGACAUGGGCUCUGUGUCUGAGGUAGAGGGAUGGCAUUCACUCUGCCUGACUUGUCAGGGUACUAGGAAAGGUUUGACAAGAAAGCUUAAAUGACCCUGUCUCUUUCCAGAGGGCUAAGCAUCUUCCUAAAUGACAGGGUGGUUUUCUGGGUCCUGUUGCUUCUCCAUGGAUUCACCUCACACACAGCAGCCCUGAACUAAGGCAUGCUUCCAGGCCUAAAGCUUAGGAGGAUAAACAGCCAUCAGUAGCCGGAGGGUUCUAGCAGCCCAUAUCACAACUUCAGUGAUGGAGAAUCCUGGGAUCACUGCCGGACCACUGUGGAGAUAGUGUGGAACUGAGGAAAGUCAGAGAACUCUCUAGCCCUGCCUUUUUCUGAAGGAUAGAAAAAGACAAGAAGAAAAUGCCAACAAGAGAGCCCCUGUCUUAGUCAGGGUUUCUAUUCCUGCACAAACAUCAUGAGCAAGAAGCAAGCUGGGGAGGAAAGGGUUUAUUCAGCUCACACUUCCACAUUGCUGCUCAUCACCAAAGGAAGUCAGGACUGGAACUCAUACAGGACAGGAACUUGGGAGGCAGGAGCUGACGCAGAUGCUGCUGACUGGAUCGCUUCCCCUGGCUUGCUCAGCUUGCUUGCUUAUAGAACCCUAGACCACCAGCCGAGGGAUGGCACCACCCACCCUUCAUCACUAAUGAGAAAAUACCUUACGGCUGGAUCUCAUGGAGGCUUUUCCUCAAGGGAGGCUCCCUUCUCUGCGAUAACUCCAGCUUGUGUCAAGUGGACACACAAAACCAGCCAGUACAACCCUCUUAGUUAUUCCUGGCACAUUUGCUUUUCGGCCAUCUUCUCUGCCAGGACAAGUGAGGUCACCAGGACAGCUCAGGCACCUGUGCCAGCUAGCAGCAUUAGUACUCAAGAAGCAGAAACUGUCCCCAGAGAAGACUUUACAGCCACAGAAGAAGUGAGACAAGAUGAGGCCUUCUGGGGUCACCCCCAGGAGAAUAUGGGGGCAUGACCUGGUGGUCCCAUCUGCAACCUGUUCUAGGAGGUCCCGGAGAUAAUCUCUCAUAGCAACUAGCAGUGACCUCAAAGUCUUUGUUUGAUCAUGUUCCCUGCUGGACCCUGAAGCCCAGAGAAGUGUCCCUGCCACCAGGAAUCCCUGAAGAAAACUAAGACUUAGAUGACUCUAACCAGGAAUGGGAUUUAAAUGAGUCUCAGCACUAGUGCACGCCGAGCAUAAAAAGCACACCUUGCGAUGUCUACCCAAAGCUAUUGCCUACCAGAUAGAAUGGAAGGAACAGGUCAGAUCCUGGGUCACAGAGGUGGUGUACCUUACCGAGUGGGAGGCACAAUGGUGAUUUAUGAAGUUCAGACGACACGGGCAGUGCUAUGGGCAUAGCUUCCACCUCAGGCCUGAACAAGGAAAUGUAACUCAGCGUUGCUUCAUUUUGUUACGAAGACCUCUUUUCCACUGGAAGAAAAGCUCUCUUUACCCGGCACAUUUCAUCUCAUGGAAUAUACUCACACAAAGGAGAUGCUUUAUGAAGACACCCAGUUUAAUAAUAUACAAUGUAGGUCACGUUGCUUGAAGAGGAGCCUUGAAUCUGCCCCUGAACUACUUGUGUGUUCCCCGUGGUCAUGAGCUAAGCCACUGGCUUCAACAAGCUUUCUCUGCCAUGAAGUGUUCCCUCACCACAGGCCCCACGGCAACACACAACGGCCCAAGACUUCUAAAGCCGCCAAUCAAAAUAAACUUUCGCUGACUCACAGAGAGCCGUGGUGAAUCCUACGACACAGAGAUUCACAGAGAGCGGUUACUGAAGCCUACAGGCAGCGUCUCAGGAGUCAUUCAUUCACUCUCUCUUGCAGUACGCCUAUCCGAUUCUUGCCCCAGGAAAACUGUCCUUUCUCUCCUGCAGCAGGGCAUCCAGAUGGCUACUCGGAUACCUCAGAUUAUGAAAAAGUCUACUCUGGCUUGAGCUUGAUUCUCCCAAAUUCAGAUAUCGCAAACUUAAUCUACAACUCCACCAAUUUGGGAUGUGGGGACUUAGCGGGCAGUAUUUAGGUCAUGGUGGAUUAAUGUGAUAAAAGGCUCUCCAACUCUC